GCCGUGAGGUGUUAGUUUAAGUCCUGCAACGAGCGCAACCCCUGUCACUAGUUGCUAACAUUAAGUUGAGGACUCUAGUGAGACUGCCUACGCAAGUAGAGAGGAAGGUGGGGAUGACGUCAAAUCAUCACGGCCCUUACGUCUUGGGCCACACACGUGCUACAAUGGCCGGUACAGAGGGCAGCUACCUAGUGAUAGGAUGCAAAUCUCGAAAGCCGGUCUCAGUUCGGAUUGGAGUCUGCAACUCGACUCUAUGAAGCUGGAAUCGCUAGUAAUCGCGCAUCAGCCAUGGCGUGGUGAAUACGUUCCCGGGCCUUGUACACACCGCCCGUCAAGCCAUGGAAGCUGGGGGUACCUGAAGUCGGUGACCGUAAAAGGAGCUGCCUAGGGUAAAACUAGUAACUAGGGCUAAGUCGUAACAAGGUAGCCGUAA
RNAcentral lists this ribosomal RNA (433 nucleotides) under uncultured bacterium. Its description in RNAcentral is "bacterial SSU rRNA". It matches the Rfam family "Bacterial small subunit ribosomal RNA", at positions 1064 to 1505 of the family's 1533-position model. The record is from RNAcentral.